Molecule: transfer RNA, 78 nt
Filed under: Phycisphaerales bacterium
Lineage: Bacteria; Pseudomonadati; Planctomycetota; Phycisphaerae; Phycisphaerales
Description: tRNA-Pro
Rfam family: tRNA
About the family: Transfer RNA (tRNA) molecules are approximately 80 nucleotides in length. Their secondary structure includes four short double-helical elements and three loops (D, anti-codon, and T loops).
Source: RNAcentral
AUGGGUGUAGCGCAGUCUGGUCAGCGCACUAGACUUGGAAUCUAGUGGUCGCAGGUUCAAAUCCUGUCACUCAUACCA